GACGAACGCUGGCGGCGUGCUUAACACAUGCAUGUCGAACGGUGAAGCGCCUUCCUUUUUGGUGGGUGUGGAUGAGUGGCGAACGGGUGAGUAACACGUGAGUAACCUGCCCCCUUCUUCUGGAUAACCGCAUGAAAGUGUGGCUAAUACGGGAUAUUCUGGGUCUGUCGCAUGAUGGGUCUGGGAAAGAUAUUGUUUCGGUGGGGGAUGGGCUCGCGGCCUAUCAGCUUGUUGGUGGGGUGAUGGCCUACCAAGGCGGUGACGGGUAGCCGGCCUGAGAGGGUGGACGGUCACACUGGGACUGAGACACGGCCCAGACUCCUACGGGAGGCAGCAGUGGGGAAUAUUGCACAGUGGGCGCAAGCCUGACGCAGCGACGCCGCGUGAGGGAUGGAGGCCUUCGGGUUGUGAACCUCUUUCGCCAGUGAAGCAGGCCUGCCUCGUUUGUGGGUGGGUUGACGGUAGCUGGAUAAGAAGCGCCGGCUAACUACGUG
RNAcentral lists this ribosomal RNA (494 nucleotides) under uncultured bacterium. RNAcentral describes it as "partial 16S ribosomal RNA". It matches the Rfam family "Bacterial small subunit ribosomal RNA", at positions 28 to 507 of the family's 1533-position model. The record is from RNAcentral.